GACGAACGCCGGCGGCGUGCUUAACACAUGCAAGUCGAGCGGUAAGGCCCUUUCGGGGGUACGACGAGCGGCGAACGGGUGAGUAACACGUGGGUGACCUGCCUUUAGCUCUGGGAUAAGCCUGGGAAACUGGGUCUAAUACCGGAUAUGACCCUAUGGCGCAUGUUGUGGGGUGGAAAGCCUUGUGCGGCUAGGGAUGGGCCCGCGGCCUAUCAGCUUGUUGGUGGGGUGAUGGCCUACCAAGGCGACGACGGGUAGCCGGCCUGAGAGGGCGACCGGCCACACUGGGACUGAGACACGGCCCAGACUCCUACGGGAGGCAGCAGUGGGGAAUCUUGCGCAAUGGGCGAAAGCCUGACGCAGCGACGCCGCGUGAGGGAUGACGGCCU
Molecule: ribosomal RNA, 389 nt
Filed under: uncultured bacterium
Lineage: Bacteria
Description: bacterial SSU rRNA
Rfam family: Bacterial small subunit ribosomal RNA
Source: RNAcentral